This 58-nucleotide ribosomal RNA is filed under the name Russula sp. DI-2003a. RNAcentral's name for it is "partial 5.8S ribosomal RNA". Lineage: Eukaryota; Fungi; Basidiomycota; Agaricomycetes; Russulales; Russulaceae. The record is from RNAcentral.
UCAUCGAAUCUUUGAACGCACCUUGCGCCCCUUGGCAUUCCGAGGGGCACACCCGUUU